Molecule: ribosomal RNA, 336 nt
Filed under: Nematoda environmental sample
Lineage: Eukaryota; Metazoa; Nematoda
Description: bacterial SSU rRNA
Rfam family: Eukaryotic small subunit ribosomal RNA
Source: RNAcentral
GGUGGAGCGAUUUGUCUGGUUUAUUCCGAUAACGAGCGAGACUCUGCCCUGCUAUUUAGUGUCCAGAUUCUUGGGUCUGGGUAGCUUCUUAGAGGGAUAAGCGGUGUUCAGCCGCACGAGAUAGAGCGAUAACAGGUCUGUGAUGCCCUUAGAUGUCCGGGGCUGCACGCGCGCUACACUGGAAGAAUCAACUGGUUCCUGGGCCGAAAGGUUCGGGAAAACCGCUGAAACUCUUCCGUGACCGGGAUAGGGAAUUGUAAUUAUUUCCCUUGAACGAGGAAUUCCUAGUAUGUGUGGGUCAUCAGCUCACGCAGAAUACGUCCCUGCCCUUUGUAC